UUGACCUCGGAUCAGGUAGGAAUACCCGCUGAACUUAAGCAUAUCAAUAAGCGGAGGAAAAGAAACCAACAGGGAUUGCCUCAGUAACGGCGAGUGAAGCGGCAACAGCUCAAAUUUGAAAUCUGGCCUAGCCCGAGUUGUAAUUUGCAGAGGAUGCUUCUGGUGCGGCGCUGUCCAAGUCCCCUGGAACGGGGCGCCACAGAGGGUGAGAGCCCCGUCUGGUCAGCCGCCAAGCCUGUGUGAAGCUCCUUCGACGAGUCGAGUAGUUUGGGAAUGCUGCUCUAAACGGGAGGUAGACCCCUUCUAAAGCUAAAUAUUGGCCAGAGACCGAUAGCGCACAAGUAGAGUGAUCGAAAGAUGAAAAGCACUUUGAAAAGAGGGUUAAACAGUACGUGAAAUUGUUAAAAGGGAAGCGCUUGUGACCAGACGUGCGCCGGGCGUUCAGCGGGCGUUCUCGCCCGUGUACUCGUCCCGGCGCAGGCCAGCGUCGGUUCGGAUGGGGGGACAAAGGCGUCGGGAAUGUAUCUCCCUCGGGAGUGUUAUAGACCGAUGUGCCAUGCCCCCGUCUGGACCGAGGUUCGCGCUCUGCAAGGACGCUGGCAUAAUGGUCCCCAGCGGCCCGUCUUGAAACACGGACCAAGGAGUCGAGGUUUUGUGCGAGUGUUUGGGUGUCAAGCCCGCACGCGUAAUGAAAGUGAACGUAGGUGGGAGCUUCGGCGCACCACCGACCGAUCCUGAUGUUCUCGGAUGGAUUUGAGUAGGAGCACAGGGCCUCGGACCCGAAAGAUGGUGAACUAUACUUGGAUAGGGUGAAGCCAGAGGAAACUCUGGUGGAGGCUCGCAGCGGUUCUGACGUGCAAAUCGAUCGUCAAAUCUGAGUAUGGGGGCGAAAGACUAAUCGAACCAUCUAGUAGCUGGUUACCGCCGAAGUUUCCCUCAGGAUAGCAGUGUUGGUCUCAGUUUUAUGAGGUAAAGCGAAUGAUUAGGGACUCGGGGGCGCUAUAUUGCCUUCAUCCAUUCUCAAACUUUAAAUAUGUAAGAAGCCCUUGUUGCUUAGUUGAACGUGGGCCUUCGAAUGCAGCAACACUAGUGGGCCAUUUUUGGUAAGCAGAACUGGCGAUGUGGGAUGAACCAUACGGGGGGUUAAGGUGCCGGAGUGGACGCUCAUCAGACACCACAAAAGGUGUUAGCACAUCUUGACAGCAGGACGGUGGCCAUGGAAGUCGGAAUCCGCUAAGGAC
RNAcentral lists this ribosomal RNA (1241 nucleotides) under Arcuatospora sp. 1 MR-2021. RNAcentral's name for it is "partial large subunit ribosomal RNA". It matches the Rfam family "Eukaryotic large subunit ribosomal RNA", at positions 1 to 1278 of the family's 3401-position model. The record is from RNAcentral. Lineage: Eukaryota; Fungi; Ascomycota; Sordariomycetes; Chaetosphaeriales; Chaetosphaeriaceae.